UGUGUAGGCGGUUUGGUAAGUCUGGUGUGAAAUCUCCCGGCUCAACUGGGAGGGUGCGCCGGAAACUGCCGGACUCGAGUGCGGGAGAGGAGAGUGGAAUUCCUGGUGUAGCGGUGAAAUGCGUAGAUAUCAGGAGGAACACCGGCGGUGUAGACGGCUCUCUGGACCGUAACUGGCGCUGAAACACGAAAGCGUGGGUAGCAAACAGGAUUAGAUACCCUGGUAGUCCACGCCCUAAACGAUGCAUAUUUGGUGUGGGUCAUUCAGUUGAUCCGUGCCGGAGCUAACGCGUUAAAUAUGCCGCCUGGGGAGUACAGUCGCAAGGCUGAA
RNAcentral lists this ribosomal RNA (330 nucleotides) under uncultured bacterium. RNAcentral describes it as "bacterial SSU rRNA". It matches the Rfam family "Bacterial small subunit ribosomal RNA", at positions 568 to 898 of the family's 1533-position model. The record is from RNAcentral.